CCUACGGGAGGCUGCAGUGGGGAAUAUUGGACAAUGGGCGAAAGCCUGAUCCAGCCAUGCCGCGUGUGUGAAGAAGGCCUUCGGGUUGUAAAGCACUUUCAGUGGGGAAGAAAGCCUUGGGGCUAAUACCCUCGAGGAAGGACAUCACCCACAGAAGAAGCACCGGCUAACUCCGUGCCAGCAGCCGCGGUAAUACGGAGGGUGCGAGCGUUAAUCGGAAUUACUGGGCGUAAAGCGCGCGUAGGCGGUCUGAUAAGCCGGUUGUGAAAGCCCCGGGCUCAACCUGGGAACGGCAUCCGGAACUGUCAGGCUAGAGUGCAGGAGAGGAAGGUAGAAUUCCCGGUGUAGCGGUGGAAUGCGUAGAGAUCGGGAGGAAUACCAGUGGCGAAGGCGGCCUUCUGGACUGACACUGACGCUGAGGUGCGAAAGCGUGGGUAGCAAACAGGAUUAGAUACCCCAGUAGUC
Molecule: ribosomal RNA, 465 nt
Filed under: Vreelandella stevensii
Lineage: Bacteria; Pseudomonadati; Pseudomonadota; Gammaproteobacteria; Oceanospirillales; Halomonadaceae
Description: partial 16S ribosomal RNA
Rfam family: Bacterial small subunit ribosomal RNA
Source: RNAcentral